GGAUUAGUUCAAUGGCAGAGCAACGGUCUCCAAAACCGUCAAUGGGGGUUCGAAUCCCUCAUCC
RNAcentral lists this transfer RNA (64 nucleotides) under human gut metagenome. It matches the Rfam family "tRNA". Rfam says of the family: Transfer RNA (tRNA) molecules are approximately 80 nucleotides in length. Their secondary structure includes four short double-helical elements and three loops (D, anti-codon, and T loops). The record is from RNAcentral.